RNAcentral lists this ribosomal RNA (253 nucleotides) under uncultured bacterium. Its description in RNAcentral is "partial 16S ribosomal RNA". It matches the Rfam family "Bacterial small subunit ribosomal RNA", at positions 524 to 776 of the family's 1533-position model. The record is from RNAcentral.
UACGGAGGGUGCGAGCGUUGUCCGGAAUCACUGGGCGUAAAGGGCGCGUAGGCGGCGCGGGUAGUCAACGGUGAAAGCUUGGGGCUCAACCCCGAGUCAGCCGUCGAUACUCCCGUGCUUGAGCACUGUAGAGGCAGGUGGAAUUCCGGGUGUAGCGGUGGAAUGCGUAGAGAUCCGGAAGAACACCGGUGGCGAAGGCGGCCUGCUGGGCAGUAGCUGACGCUGAGGCACGAAAGCGUGGGGAUCGAACAGG